This 253-nucleotide ribosomal RNA is filed under the name uncultured bacterium. RNAcentral's name for it is "partial 16S ribosomal RNA". It matches the Rfam family "Bacterial small subunit ribosomal RNA", at positions 524 to 776 of the family's 1533-position model. The record is from RNAcentral.
UACGAACCGUGCAAACGUUGUUCGGAAUCACUGGGCUUAAAGGGCGCGUAGGCGGGCAGGCAAGUCCGGGGUGAAAUCUUUCGGCUUAACCGGAAAAGUGCCUUGGAUACUGCUUGUCUGGAGGGAGGUAGGGGCAUGUGGAACUUCUGGUGGAGCGGUGAAAUGCGUUGAUAUCAGAAGGAACGCCGGUGGCGAAAGCGACGUGCUGGACCUCUUCUGACGCUGAUGCGCGAAAGCUAGGGGAGCAAACGGG